RNAcentral lists this non-coding RNA (22 nucleotides) under Arabidopsis thaliana (thale cress). Lineage: Eukaryota; Viridiplantae; Streptophyta; Magnoliopsida; Brassicales; Brassicaceae. The record is from RNAcentral.
CUAGGGUUUUUCUUGUGCUCAG